GACGAACGCUGGCGGCGUGCCUAAUACAUGCAAGUUGAGCGCUGAAGGUUGGUACUUGUACCAACUGGAUGAGCAGCGAACGGGUGAGUAACGCGUGGGGAAUCUGCCUUUGAGCGGGGGACAACAUUUGGAAACGAAUGCUAAUACCGCAUAAAAACUUUAAACACAAGUUUUAAGUUUGAAAGAUGCAAUUGCAUCACUCAAAGAUGAUCCCGCGUUGUAUUAGCUAGUUGGUGAGGUAAAGGCGCACCAAGGCGAUGAUACAUAGCCGACCUGAGAGGGUGAUCAGCCACAUUGGGACUGAGACACGGCCCAAACUCCUACGGGAGGCAGCAGUAGGGAAUCUUCGGCAAUGGACGAAAGUCUGACCGAGCAACGCCGCGUGAGUGAAGAAGGUUUUCGGAUCGUAAAACUCUGUUGGUAGAGAAGAACGUUGGUGAGAGUGGAAAGCUCAUCAAGUGACGGUAACUACCCAGAAAGGGACGGCUAACUACGUG
Molecule: ribosomal RNA, 497 nt
Filed under: uncultured bacterium
Lineage: Bacteria
Description: partial 16S ribosomal RNA
Rfam family: Bacterial small subunit ribosomal RNA
Source: RNAcentral